RNAcentral lists this ribosomal RNA (466 nucleotides) under uncultured bacterium. RNAcentral's name for it is "partial 16S ribosomal RNA". It matches the Rfam family "Bacterial small subunit ribosomal RNA", at positions 28 to 507 of the family's 1533-position model. The record is from RNAcentral.
GACGAACGCUGGCGGCGUGCUUAACACAUGCAAGUCGAACGGAAAGGCCCUGCUUUUGUGGGGUGCUCGAGUGGCGAACGGGUGAGUAACACGUGAGUAACCUGCCCUUGACUUUGGGAUAACUUCAGGAAACUGGGGCUAAUACCGGAUAGGAGCUCCUGCUGCAUGGUGGGGGUUGGAAAGUUUCGGCGGUUGGGGAUGGACUCGCGGCUUAUCAGCUUGUUGGUGGGGUAGUGGCUUACCAAGGCUUUGACGGGUAGCCGGCCUGAGAGGGUGACCGGCCACAUUGGGACUGAGAUACGGCCCAGACUCCUACGGGAGGCAGCAGUGGGGAAUAUUGCACAAUGGGCGGAAGCCUGAUGCAGCAACGCCGCGUGCGGGAUGACGGCCUUCGGGUUGUAAACCGCUUUCGCCUGUGACGAAGCGAGUGACGGUAAUGGGUAAAGAAGCACCGGCUAACUACGUG